Molecule: non-coding RNA, 1069 nt
Organism: Pelobates cultripes (western spadefoot toad)
Lineage: Eukaryota; Metazoa; Chordata; Amphibia; Anura; Pelobatidae
Source: the annotation of a GenBank genome assembly
CCCACCUCCUGGACAGCAUCCAUGUUGAAGCUGACCGGAGCUCGCCGCGAACGGUUCGUGGCGAACCGUGGCGAGCCGUUCGCAGGAAGUUCGCAAACGGUUCGCGACAUCUCUAUCUAGGAUUUGUAAAAUGUCUCUGUUUUGUAUCAUGAGCUCAUUCGUGUCUAGUUAUUGAUUCAGACAUCUUGUUGUGCUACUGGUAACAUUUUAUUUUAUGUUUGACAGAGCAAAUGUUCUAGGUAUUCUGAUUUGGCUAAUAGCUAGUUUAGUGUUUUCGGUGUGUUUUAGUAAGCCAAGAGAGGUCAUUCUUUCUUGAUUCUUAGAAAAAGCGUUUCGAGGCAAGGAGUAACGUAGCAAAUACAAUAUUAUACAUAAUAUAAUUUGGAUCAGACAUGUUGGCAGGAAAAUUCGGUUGGACUUUUUCAGAAUGUCUGAUGCUCAUUUGCAUGGCGGAGUGAUUUAACUGAAUAUAGUCAAUGGAAAUAUUUUCAGACAUUCCAAAAAGGUGCAAUAAUGGACCAAUCAGUUUACUGCAAAAUAUAUACAUAGCCACCAUUUGGUUCAAAUAUCAAAUGAUAAAAAGUUACCAGUGACUUAACCCUCAAAAUACAUGCAGCAAAACUAUAUAGGAAAAUUAUAUAGGUACAUUCAGUAGACGCAAAACAAUCCACCUUAGUGAAUAUGUACACUUAGCUGUUCUAAUGCUGGAGUAGUAUGUUCAAGGUAAUAGCAAGCAUACCCAGACAGUCUCAGAGCUAUUCACGUGUUUAUUUGUAUCUCAAGCAUGACACCUCAAUAAUAAGGCAGUGACUUUCCUUAAGAUGUUUCCUCCAUGGCAUAAGUAAUAAAAAAAGCCAUGUGUAGGUACUUGACAAAGAGCUUUUCCCUUGAUGUCAUAAAAUGAGCUAUAAUUUGACACAACCUAUCUAACCAGAAACAUUUCUUACAGCACACUUUAGGCAACAAGUUGACAUAUUGUGAAUAUUUUCUCUGUAAAUGAAGAACAACUUAUUAUUAUUGUAUAUUCUUUAAAGUGUAUAUAUUCACAGUGCUGGAUUGUUCUGUGUCU